GGGUGAGGAGAGUAUACUAAGGCCAGCGAGAGAACUGUUGUUAAGGAACUCGGCAAAAUGACCCCGUAACUUAGGGAUACGGGGUGCCACCAUCAGGUGGCCGCAGAGAAUAGGCCCAAGCGACUGUUUACCAAAAACAUAGGUUUCUGCUAAGUCGCAAGACGAUGUAUAGGCGCUGACGCCUGCCCGGUGCUGGAAGGUUAAGGGGAUCUGUUAGAGUAAUCGAAGCAGUGAACUUAAGCCCCAGUAAACGGCGGCCGUAACUAUAACGGUCCUAAGGUAGCGAAAUUCCUUGUCGGGUAAGUUCCGACCCGCACGAAAGGCGUAACGAUUUGGGCACUGUCUCA
This 347-nucleotide ribosomal RNA is filed under the name Clostridioides difficile. RNAcentral's name for it is "bacterial LSU rRNA". It matches the Rfam family "Bacterial large subunit ribosomal RNA", at positions 1665 to 2023 of the family's 2925-position model. Lineage: Bacteria; Bacillati; Bacillota; Clostridia; Peptostreptococcales; Peptostreptococcaceae. The record is from RNAcentral.